This 955-nucleotide ribosomal RNA is filed under the name uncultured bacterium. RNAcentral describes it as "bacterial SSU rRNA". It matches the Rfam family "Bacterial small subunit ribosomal RNA", at positions 54 to 999 of the family's 1533-position model. The record is from RNAcentral.
CAUGCAAGUCGAGGGGCAGCAUGAUUUGUAGCAAUACAGAUUGAUGGCGACCGGCGCACGGGUGAGUAACGCGUAUGCAACUUACCUAUCAGAGGGGGAUAGCCCGGCGAAAGUCGGAUUAAUACCCCAUAAAACAGGGGGUCCCGCAUGGGAAUAUUUGUUAAAGAUUCAUCGCUGAUAGAUAGGCAUGCGUUCCAUUAGGCAGUUGGCGGGGUAACGGCCCACCAAACCGACGAUGGAUAGGGGUUCUGAGAGGAAGGUCCCCCACAUUGGUACUGAGACACGGACCAAACUCCUACGGGAGGCAGCAGUGAGGAAUAUUGGUCAAUGGCCGAGAGGCUGAACCAGCCAAGUCGCGUGAAGGAAGAAGGAUCUAUGGUUUGUAAACUUCUUUUAUAGGGGAAUAAAGUGGAGGACGUGUCCUUUUUUGUAUGUACCCUAUGAAUAAGCAUCGGCUAACUCCGUGCCAGCAGCCGCGGUAAUACGGAGGAUGCGAGCGUUAUCCGGAUUUAUUGGGUUUAAAGGGUGCGUAGGUGGUGAUUUAAGUCAGCGGUGAAAGUUUGUGGCUCAACCAUAAAAUUGCCGUUGAAACUGGGUUACUUGAGUGUGUUUGAGGUAGGCGGAAUGCGUGGUGUAGCGGUGAAAUGCAUAGAUAUCACGCAGAACUCCGAUUGCGAAGGCAGCUUACUAAACCAUAACUGACACUGAAGCACGAAAGCGUGGGGAUCAAACAGGAUUAGAUACCCUGGUAGUCCACGCAGUAAACGAUGAUUACUAGGAGUUUGCGAUACAAUGUAAGCUCUACAGCGAAAGCGUUAAGUAAUCCACCUGGGGAGUACGCCGGCAACGGUGAAACUCAAAGGAAUUGACGGGGGCCCGCACAAGCGGAGGAACAUGUGGUUUAAUUCGAUGAUACGCGAGGAACCUUACCCGGGUUUGAACGUAGUUUGACCGG